UUUAUUUUUUUCCCUGAUAACAAAAGCAGAACAGGCUUAUUAUUUAUAAAAAGUGACCAAAACGUCCAAAAUAGAGGUGAAAGCCAGCCCUUAUCCCAGUCCCAGAUAUACAGUGUGGUAUGUCGGGCUACACAGGCUGAUCUGCAAUUCACUUCUUCAAGGCGGUCCUUUGAAACCAAAACUGAUCAUGUCACUGCCACGUUUGAAGGACUCCAGUGGCUUCCUACAGCUCUCAGAUGAAGAGCACUUUCCGUUCGUUGGAUCCCAAGUUACUCCUUCGGAGAAGUUUUGCUUCCCAAGACCGUCCAAUGCAAAGCCAAGUAAUUGAAGACCAACUACUUCAAGGAGGAGUGGCUCUUUUUCAUUCACCAUUCUCUCCCAGUGUCUGGCACGUGGUGGAUGUUCAAUAAAUACUUGUUGGAUGAAUGGACUUGAUAGGUACUAAUUAUCUGAUUGCUUCCAUGAGCCAGCACAAUGCUGGGUAUGGGAGAACCCAGUGGAAUAAUGAAACAAAUGCAGGUUC
This 523-nucleotide long non-coding RNA is filed under the name Microcebus murinus (gray mouse lemur). RNAcentral describes it as "lncRNA (ENSMICG00000048219.1)". Lineage: Eukaryota; Metazoa; Chordata; Mammalia; Primates; Cheirogaleidae. The record is from RNAcentral.